GUCGGGGUGGCUCAGCCUGGUAAGAGCGCCUGACUCAUAAUCAGGAGGCCGCGGGUUCAAACCCCGCCCCCGACA
Molecule: transfer RNA, 75 nt
Filed under: Thermoplasmatales archaeon
Lineage: Archaea; Methanobacteriati; Thermoplasmatota; Thermoplasmata; Thermoplasmatales
Also listed under: 1 other name
Description: tRNA-Met
Rfam family: tRNA
About the family: Transfer RNA (tRNA) molecules are approximately 80 nucleotides in length.
Source: RNAcentral